RNAcentral lists this unclassified non-coding RNA (237 nucleotides) under Hevea brasiliensis (rubber tree). Lineage: Eukaryota; Viridiplantae; Streptophyta; Magnoliopsida; Malpighiales; Euphorbiaceae. The record is from RNAcentral.
GGCUUCCAUGAUGCCCCUCCUCGGCGCAUUCAUUGCUGAUUCGUAUCUGGGCCGGUAUCGGACGAUCGUCUGUGCCUCGCUGCUCUAUGUUCUGGGUUUGGGCAUGCUGACUCUAUCCUCUGCGCUGCCUGCUUUGCGACCGCCCAAAUGCAAUGACACCGUGGACCCCACAGCCUGCCUACCCACACAAUUCCAGGUUGCCUUCUUCUACGUAUCCCUAUACUUCAUGGCAUUUGC